RNAcentral lists this ribosomal RNA (253 nucleotides) under uncultured bacterium. Its description in RNAcentral is "partial 16S ribosomal RNA". It matches the Rfam family "Bacterial small subunit ribosomal RNA", at positions 524 to 776 of the family's 1533-position model. The record is from RNAcentral.
UACAGAGGUCUCAAGCGUUAAUCGGAAUCACUGGGCUUAAAGGGUGCGUAGGCGGACUCGCAAGUGCCUUGUGAAAUCCCGCGGCUCAACCGUGGAAUUGCUCGGUAGACUGCGGGUCUUGAGGUCGGUAGGGGCUGCCGGAACAGUAGGUGGAGCGGUGAAAUGCGUAGAUAUCUACUGGAACGCCCAAGGCGAAGGCAGGCAGCUGGGCCGAUUCUGACGCUGAGGCACGAAAGCGUGGGGAGCAAACGGG